Molecule: non-coding RNA, 494 nt
Organism: Prunus avium (sweet cherry)
Lineage: Eukaryota; Viridiplantae; Streptophyta; Magnoliopsida; Rosales; Rosaceae
Source: RefSeq, a predicted model, not a curated record
AAUUGGUACAAGGUGAGCAGAGGGCUCCCUGGUGGAACAGGAGGGAUUAAAAGCAUCACCAACUAUUCACCUGUUUUUGAAGCAGUAAGCAAGGCUAAGGCCAAGGGGUUCACUGAUGUCCUAUUUCUGGAGGCAGCCACUGGGAAAAAUGUUGAGGAGGUUUCUUCAUGUCGUGUUUUCAUUGUGAAGGGUAAUGUGGUUUUAACUCCACCGACCAAUGGAACUAUUCUUCCAGGGAUCACAAGAAAAAGCAUCAUAGAAAUUGCUCUUCAUCUCAAUUUCCAGUCAUAAUUCGAACUCAUCACAAAUAUAUAUCGUGCUCGCAUUCACCCGAAGAUGAGAUAUUUUCCAAUCAAAUUAUAGCAAAGGCUAGUUGGUAUACAGUCAGGGACGGUCCUAUGACUUGUACAACUUGGGCUAUAGCCCAGGUGAGUUUUAUUUAUUUAUUUCUUAUAGUUAGUGUUAAUGUUAAUCCCAUUUAUAGCAGAAAUAUU